Molecule: long non-coding RNA, 211 nt
Filed under: Glycine max (soybean)
Lineage: Eukaryota; Viridiplantae; Streptophyta; Magnoliopsida; Fabales; Fabaceae
Description: long non-coding RNA (GMAX_LNC001279)
Source: RNAcentral
GAAAACGUGGAGGAGGCUUUGGCUGCGCAGCAGCUCUGAUUUCGUGAGUAUUUAUAGAAGAUGACGUAUUGUAAUCGAUUACAGGUAUUGGUAAUCGAUUACAGGACCAAUAAGCCUACUGGUAAUCGAUUACAGGAUGUUGUAAUCGAUUAUAGGCUGCCUGUUCAUGUGUAAUCGAUUACACUGGAUGGUAAUCGAUUACCAGAGCCUA